This 496-nucleotide ribosomal RNA is filed under the name uncultured bacterium. Its description in RNAcentral is "partial 16S ribosomal RNA". It matches the Rfam family "Bacterial small subunit ribosomal RNA", at positions 28 to 506 of the family's 1533-position model. The record is from RNAcentral.
GAUGAACGCUGGCGGCGUGCCUAAUACAUGCAAGUCGAGCGAACAGACGAGGAGCUUGCUCCUCUGACGUUAGCGGCGGACGGGUGAGUAACACGUGGAUAACCUACCUAUAAGACUGGGAUAACUUCGGGAAACCGGAGCUAAUACCGGAUAAUAUAUUGAACCGCAUGGUUCAAUAGUGAAAGACGGUUUUGCUGUCACUUAUAGAUGGAUCUGCGCCGCAUUAGCUAGUUGGUAAGGUAACGGCUUACCAAGGCAACGAUGCGUAGCCGACCUGAGAGGGUGAUCGGCCACACUGGAACUGAGACACGGUCCAGACUCCUACGGGAGGCAGCAGUAGGGAAUCUUCCGCAAUGGGCGAAAGCCUGACGGAGCAACGCCGCGUGAGUGAUGAAGGUCUUCGGAUCGUAAAACUCUGUUAUUAGGGAAGAACAAAUGUGUAAGUAACUAUGCACGUCUUGACGGUACCUAAUCAGAAAGCCACGGCUAACUACGU